RNAcentral lists this ribosomal RNA (991 nucleotides) under Acanthothecis peplophora. RNAcentral describes it as "eukaryotic LSU rRNA". It matches the Rfam family "Eukaryotic large subunit ribosomal RNA", at positions 143 to 1099 of the family's 3401-position model. The record is from RNAcentral. Lineage: Eukaryota; Fungi; Ascomycota; Lecanoromycetes; Ostropales; Graphidaceae.
UUGUAAUUUGGAGAAGGUGCUUCGGGCGCGGCGACGGUCCAAGUCCCUUGGAACGGGGCGUCAUAGAGGGUGAGAGCCCCGUACGCGGCCGCCCGCCAACCCCGUGUGAAGCCCUUUCGACGAGUCGAGUUGUUUGGGAAUGCAGCUCAAAAUGGGUGGUAAAUUUCAUCUAAAGCUAAAUACCCGCCAGAGACCGAUAGCGCACAAGUAGAGUGAUCGAAAGAUGAAAAGCACUUUGGAAAGAGAGUGAAACAGUACGUGAAAUUGUUGAAAGGGAAGCGCUUGCAACCAGACUCGCUCGCGGGCGUUCAGCCGCCCCCCGGGGUGGUGUACUCGCCCGCGGUCGGGCCAGCAUCGAUUCUGGCGGCCGGACAAAGGUCCCGGGAACGUGGCUCUCCUCGGGGAGCGUUAUAGCCCGGGGCGCAAUGCGGCCAGCCGGGAUCGAGGACCGCGCUUUUUGCUAGGAUGCUGGCGUAAUGGUUGCCAGCGACCCGUCUUGAAACACGGACCAAGGAGUCGACCGACCGCGCGAGUGUUUGGGCGUCAAACCCAUGCGCGAAAUGAAAGUGAACGGAGGUGGGAGCCCCCGGGCGCACCAUCGACCGAUCCUGAUGUCUUCGGAUGGAUUUGAGUAUGAGCGUGGGCGGUCGGACCCGAAAGGUGAGCCCCUAAUCAAUUCCCCUCGCUGUAAAUUAUCAACUAACUUUUUUUCCAGACAGUGAGCUAUGCGUGAAUAGGGUGAAGCCAGAGGAAACUCUGGUGGAGGCUCGCAGCGGUUCUGACGUGCAAAUCGAUCGUCAAAUUUGCGUAUAGGGGCGAAAGACUAAUCGAACUGUCUAGUAGCUGGUUCCUGCCGAAGUUUCCCUCAGGAUAGCAGUGACGAAUAACAGUCUCAUGAGGUAGAGCAAACGAUUAGAGGCCUAGGGACAAUCAUUGUCUUUACCUAUUCUCGAACUCCGAAUAUGUGAGAAGUCCUUGUUACUUAGUUGAA